This 529-nucleotide ribosomal RNA is filed under the name Paracerceis glynni. RNAcentral's name for it is "eukaryotic LSU rRNA". It matches the Rfam family "Eukaryotic large subunit ribosomal RNA", at positions 656 to 904 of the family's 3401-position model. Lineage: Eukaryota; Metazoa; Arthropoda; Malacostraca; Isopoda; Sphaeromatidae. The record is from RNAcentral.
GAAACACGGACCAAGGAGUCUAACAUGUACGCGAGUCGAAGGGACUACCAUAUCCUAUAGGCGCAAUGAAAAUAAAACUGAGGCAUGCUCUCACCUUUACAGGGAACUGCUAGUAGCCUAACUUCGCUGGAUAUCCUAAUAAAACUUUGCCCGUUCCUAGUCCUCCGUUUCGAACGUCGAGAUGCUAGUAGGGGCAAAGAAAGGGGGUAUUCCGGGUAGGACAAAACUACGAAGGUAGUAUACCUACAUAGGGUGAUGUAGCGCGUUCUCAUUUUGCUAUUUAUAGCAUGUUUUUCGAUGGCUGAUCCUAUACCCGUUUAAUCGCGGGAGGCGCAAGCCGGGGGUCCCAAUAGAGCUCUUUCCUCGGUACGGGCUGGUUUUAUACUCGCUUUGGAAAAGGAUAGAGGUCUAUGGGGCUCUUUGAGCGUACAUGUUAGUACCCGAAAGAUGGUGAUCUAUGCGUGACCAGGCCGAAGCCAGAGGAAACUCUGGUGGAAGGCCGUCGCGUUUCUGACGUGCAAAUCGAUUG